Molecule: long non-coding RNA, 161 nt
Organism: Lutra lutra (Eurasian river otter)
Lineage: Eukaryota; Metazoa; Chordata; Mammalia; Carnivora; Mustelidae
Exons: 3
Source: RefSeq, a predicted model, not a curated record
AUUUAAAGACAACAUAGGAGGUGUGAAAGCUGAGUCAGAGACAGCGUAUUUGCCUAAUCUAACAGAGAAUCUAGAUUUGAAUCCAGAUCUAGGUGACUUCAAAACCAAUACUGUUGGGGCGCCUGGGUGGCUCAGUGGGUUAAAGCCUCUGCCUUCAGCUC